UUGGAGAUUAACCAUAGCUGCCAAAGCCGU
RNAcentral lists this non-coding RNA (30 nucleotides) under Mus musculus (house mouse). The record is from RNAcentral. Lineage: Eukaryota; Metazoa; Chordata; Mammalia; Rodentia; Muridae.